RNAcentral lists this small nucleolar RNA (138 nucleotides) under Ornithorhynchus anatinus (platypus). Lineage: Eukaryota; Metazoa; Chordata; Mammalia; Monotremata; Ornithorhynchidae. The record is from RNAcentral.
CCCCUCUCAGGGUUGCACCUGGAGAGUUUCCAGUAAUCUACCAGUCUCAGCUUUGGGAGGGAGAGUCAAGCAGAGGCAUACCCAUUCCAUUCCUAUCUUGGGCAGUGGCUAGUGAGUGGAAGGCAAUCUGCUACAAGU